CGGAAGAGUGGUCGAGUGGUUUAAGGCACCGGUCUUGAAAACCGGCGUGCGGGGAACCGUACCGUGGGUUCGAAUCCCACCUCUUCCGCCAA
RNAcentral lists this transfer RNA (92 nucleotides) under Roseibium sp. TrichSKD4. Its description in RNAcentral is "tRNA-Ser". It matches the Rfam family "tRNA". From Rfam's summary of the family: Transfer RNA (tRNA) molecules are approximately 80 nucleotides in length. Their secondary structure includes four short double-helical elements and three loops (D, anti-codon, and T loops). Lineage: Bacteria; Pseudomonadati; Pseudomonadota; Alphaproteobacteria; Hyphomicrobiales; Stappiaceae. The record is from RNAcentral.